Molecule: ribosomal RNA, 467 nt
Filed under: uncultured bacterium
Lineage: Bacteria
Description: partial 16S ribosomal RNA
Rfam family: Bacterial small subunit ribosomal RNA
Source: RNAcentral
GAUGAACGCUGGCGGCGUGCUUAACACAUGCAAGUCGAACGGAAAGGCCCUGCUUUUGUGGGGUGCUCGAGUGGCGAACGGGUGAGUAACACGUGAGUACCUGCCCUUGACUUUGGGAUAACUUCAGGAAACUGGGGCUAAUACCGGAUAGGAGCUCCUGCUGCAUGGUGGGGGUUGGAAAGUUUCGGCGGUUGGGGAUGGACUCGCGGCUUAUCAGCUUGUUGGUGGGGUAGUGGCUUACCAAGGCUUUGACGGGUAGCCGGCCUGAGAGGGUGACCGGCGACAAUGCGACUGCGAGAGGGACCAGUCGGCUACGGGAGGCAGCAGUGGAGAAUAUGACGGAACGGGCGGAAGUCUGAUGCAGCAACCCCGCGUGCGGGAUGACGUGUUUCGGGUUGUGAACCUCUGUCGCCUGUGACGAAGCGAGCGUGACGGUACUGGGUAAAGAAGCACCGGCUAACUACGUG